Molecule: ribosomal RNA, 320 nt
Filed under: uncultured eukaryote
Lineage: Eukaryota
Description: partial 18S ribosomal RNA
Rfam family: Eukaryotic small subunit ribosomal RNA
Source: RNAcentral
CCCCUAGAUGUUCUGGGCCGCACGCGCGCUACACUGAACAGUUCAACAAGUCUUAACCUUGGCCGAUAGGUCUGGGUAAUCUUUGAACGCUGUUCGUGAUUGGGAUAGACCUUUGCAAUUAUGGGUCUUCAACGAGGAAUUCCUAGUAAACGCAAGUCAUCAGCUUGCAUUGAUUACGUCCCUGCCCUUUGUACACACCGCCCGUCGCACCUACCGAUUGAAUGGUCCGGUGAAAUUUCGGGACGGCGGCUUGGUCGCUUGCGUCCGACUGCUGAAACUUGAUUAAACCAUAUCAUUUAGAGGAAGGUGAAGUCGUAACA